CCCUUAGAUGUUCUGGGCGGCCCGCGCACUACAUUGGCACUAGCAAAGAGAUCCUAGAUUGGAUUCUUUGGGGUAUUCUUCUAAAUGGUGUCGUGACUGGGAUAAAUCCUUGUAAUUAUUGGUUUUGAACGAGGAAUUCCUUGUAAUCGCGGUUUAUCAGCUCGCGUUGAAUGCGUCCCUGCCCUUUGUACACACCGCCCGUCGCUCCUACCGAUGGAUCGUCCGGUGAAGCUCACGGAGUGACUGUUCACGCAACGGUUUACGAAGUGAAAUGGACCUCACGAUUUAGAGGAAGGAGAAGUCGUAACA
Molecule: ribosomal RNA, 309 nt
Filed under: uncultured eukaryote
Lineage: Eukaryota
Description: partial 18S ribosomal RNA
Rfam family: Eukaryotic small subunit ribosomal RNA
Source: RNAcentral